UAGGGAAUAUUGCACAAUGGGGGAAACCCUGAUGCAGCGACGCCGCGUGAAGGAAGAAGUAUCUCGGUAUGUAAACUUCUAUCAGCAGGGAAGACAAUGACGGUACCUGACUAAGAAGCCCCGGCUAACUACGUGCCAGCAGCCGCGGUAAUACGUAGGGGGCAAGCGUUAUCCGGAUUUACUGGGUGUAAAGGGAGCGUAGACGGCAGUGCAAGCCUGGAGUGAAAGGAUGGGGCCCAACCCCAUGACUGCUCUGGGAACUGUACGGCUAGAGUGCCGGAGGGGUAAGCGGAAUUCCUAGUGUAGCGGUGAAAUGCGUAGAUAUUAGGAGGAACACCAGUGGCGAAGGCGGCUUACUGGACGGUAACUGACGUUGAGGCUCGAAGGCGUGGGGAGCAAACAGGAUUAGAUACCC
RNAcentral lists this ribosomal RNA (415 nucleotides) under uncultured bacterium. RNAcentral's name for it is "bacterial SSU rRNA". It matches the Rfam family "Bacterial small subunit ribosomal RNA", at positions 355 to 787 of the family's 1533-position model. The record is from RNAcentral.